GGUCUCUGCAGCUGGUCGGCCACCAUAUUGGGGUUGCUCGCCGCCCGUCAGGCCUCGGCGCCACUUCUCCUUGCGGCCGCCCGACGAGGCGACUGCCCGGGGCAGGAUCCCGCUCCGAUUGGCCAGCCUUCCACCCCGGAUUAGGCGGAGGAGAUCGCGAACGACGGGGCUGAAUUCAUCUGGAGGCCUUAGCAGCAAGUGAGAUCAUGGAGGAAAAUGGUGAAGAUGUGGCUUCCCUGGCGGCCUACAUUUCAACAGAUGGCAGCUACACAGAGACCGUGCCCAUGCCGAAUCACGGCACACUGACGGCUUCCUCGCAGGGCUCUUCCUCUGCCACUAAAUCAAGGCGCCAGCCUGUUUGGACUGACGAGGAGACCCGGGCCUUCAUCCAGGUGUGGGGUGAUGACGCGGUGCAGAGUGCCCUGGCAUCAAACUAUCGCACAGUUGCACAGUUCCAGUGGAUAGCGGAUGAAAUGCGAGCCCGGGGUUACAACAGGGAUUGGGAGCAAUGCCGCGAACGUGCAAAGGUCCUUCGACGGGGCUUCAAAGAGAUAGUGGAUGGGAACAGCAACGUGGGCCACGGACGCCGCGUGUGGCCUUAUUUCGAAGAACUUAAUCGAUUUCUUUGCAUCAAGCAAAAUCUGGUCGUUCCACGGCUUUCAGGGAGCAACCCGAGGCCUCCUGUGGACCGCCGGCGCCGCGAGCACAGAGAAGCGCAAGAUGCCCCCUAUGAGCCAUCCCCAGUAGGCAAGAGCGACAAAGGGACUUUUGAAGAGCCAGACGGGGACUGUCUGUUGUUGCCCGAACCAGCAGGAUCUCAGCAGUGCGAAGCCAACCUGGAAAACCAAGUGGCGUCUCCAGCAAAUUCUGAUAUUUCCAUGGAUGGUAGUGUUGGUCCUGGCACUCCCACCGAUCCUUUGCCAUCCAAUGACUCAGUUACUGCGCCAAAUCUGCGCCCUCGGCCCCUGACCGCUGCAGAGAGGAUGCGUAAUCUUCGUUGCCGGCAAAGAAAGAGAAGGGGAGAUACUUUGAAAGAGCUGAUGGAAGUCACCUCCCAGGCUACCAGUGAACUAGUCCGGACAUUGUCCGACCUCACACAUAAAGAGGUGGCUUCUUUUGAGCGUGCUUAUAAGGAGGACCUGGCGGCCAGGAAGGACGAGAUGGAGCAGAGCGCUGAGGACAUUGGAAGGCUCGUGAGCGCUUUGGAAUCAAGCGAUCAAACUCUGAAGGAGCAGCUAAGCAGCCAGACCAGCGUACUGCAGGGCAUCUUGGAGGUCAUGAAAGACAUUCGGGGUAGAACAUCAUACAGUCCUCCGUAUCCAUCACAGUAUUACGAUUUCCCAGGCCCUAGCAUGAUUCACACAAGUGGUACUUCCUCAAAUGGCCAAGAGAUGCCAUGCUCCUCCCCUUCCAGCCUUCCAUUUCCUUCCCAGCAGUCUGCCACAAGCAACGGAGAUGUCUCUCCUCGGAAGCGGAUGAAAUGAAGCCAACAGUCGGAACGGCACUGAUGAUUUAGCGUCCUGGUGGAAACCAAUUCUCCAAUUCUUUGUUCCUGUUAGGACACAUAUAUUGCUUUCCUUACUGCCUUUCUUCUUGCAUAGUUAAAACAUGUUCUCAUCCCCCUUACGUGUGUCUCCCCCACAACGUUAACGUUGGGGAAACAGCCGCCAGCAAAUGUACAUCUAGAUUUAUUAUUACUUUUUUUUAGCGUACCUAUGUUAGUUUUCCUUCCAUCUUGUUUCCAAAGGAAUGCAGUGUUUGAUGUACAAGUAUAAUUUUUUUUUUUAAAAAAAUACAUACUUAAAACACAUUACCAGGUACCUGUAAGAGGGUAAUAUUUGAAAAGUAAUAAAACUGCACUGUUGUUCCA
RNAcentral lists this long non-coding RNA (1870 nucleotides) under Notechis scutatus (mainland tiger snake). RNAcentral's name for it is "lncRNA (ENSNSUG00000014783.1)". Lineage: Eukaryota; Metazoa; Chordata; Lepidosauria; Squamata; Elapidae. The record is from RNAcentral.